GCCCGGGUGGCGAAAUGGUAGACGCAGGGGACUUAAAAUCCCCCGAUGCAAGUCGUGCGGGUUCGAGUCCCGCCCCGGGCA
Molecule: transfer RNA, 81 nt
Filed under: Lysobacterales bacterium
Lineage: Bacteria; Pseudomonadati; Pseudomonadota; Gammaproteobacteria; Lysobacterales
Description: tRNA-Leu
Rfam family: tRNA
About the family: Transfer RNA (tRNA) molecules are approximately 80 nucleotides in length. Their secondary structure includes four short double-helical elements and three loops (D, anti-codon, and T loops). Further hydrogen bonds mediate the characteristic L-shaped molecular structure. tRNAs have two regions of fundamental functional importance: the anti-codon, which is responsible for specific mRNA codon recognition, and the 3' end, to which the tRNAs corresponding amino acid is attached (by aminoacyl-tRNA synthetases). tRNAs cope with the degeneracy of the genetic code in two manners: having more than one tRNA (with a specific anti-codon) for a particular amino acid; and 'wobble' base-pairing, i.e. permitting non-standard base-pairing at the 3rd anti-codon position.
Source: RNAcentral